UACAGCUGUAUCAAAUUCAGUGCCUGCCGCAUCCAUGGCUGGCACUGGCCCAAAAGGCUGCCACAGAGACACUGUAACUCAUGGGCCCUGUUCCUCUCUGCUGAGCCUCAGGGAUAAAUUUUGUUACAGACAUUG
This 135-nucleotide small nucleolar RNA is filed under the name Echinops telfairi (small Madagascar hedgehog). RNAcentral describes it as "Small nucleolar RNA SNORA5 (ENSETEG00000022812.1)". It matches the Rfam family "Small nucleolar RNA SNORA5". Rfam says of the family: ACA5 is a member of the H/ACA class of snoRNA that guide the sites of modification of uridines to pseudouridines. The record is from RNAcentral. Lineage: Eukaryota; Metazoa; Chordata; Mammalia; Afrosoricida; Tenrecidae.